ACCUUUUUAGUAUAUAAAAUAUAUUUGACUUCCAAUCAAAAGAACUCUUACAAGAAAAGGUA
This 62-nucleotide transfer RNA is filed under the name Scaptocoris castanea. Its description in RNAcentral is "tRNA-Gly". The record is from RNAcentral. Lineage: Eukaryota; Metazoa; Arthropoda; Insecta; Hemiptera; Cydnidae.